CCUGUGUAAUUGUAGUUCCGACUUCACCGUCUCUGACCCUGGACCCAGGCUCAUCCUUGGUUCUAGCGGCGGCUUCUUUAUCGGCCCCGGUCACGGCCCCAUCCCAAGCCCCGGGCUCGGCCCUCACUCCAGUUCGAGCACCAGGCUCGGCUCCAGGCAGGGCCCGCGGCACCAACCUCGCCACCGGGCACCGGCAACCGCCGCACGAGCGCUGGAGUGGCCCUCCCUCCCGGAGUGUCCAGUCCUGCCUUGCGAGUCCAUUGUGACGUCACUCAAGUUUUUUUUCGAAACGGACGAGUUUUCGGGCUGUUUUUAAAUCUUUAAACCAUUAAAAAGUUGGGAAAUGCAGGUGGGAUUGCGACGGGAAUAUGUUUAUCGCAUUGACGGGGAAAAAUGUGAGUCGAAUGUGUGAAAAUGGGAGGCUGUGGCCUAGCAUUUGGAAGAAAGUAGGAAUUGACCAGAUUGUGCCCAGAUGACACACACCCACAUACACAAUACAUACACACAAACAA
This is a long non-coding RNA of Amblyraja radiata (thorny skate), 512 nucleotides long. RefSeq lists it as uncharacterized. The transcript has 3 exons. Lineage: Eukaryota; Metazoa; Chordata; Chondrichthyes; Rajiformes; Rajidae. The record is from RefSeq and is a predicted model, not a curated record.